This 223-nucleotide non-coding RNA is filed under the name Bacillus sp. (in: firmicutes). RNAcentral's name for it is "Bacillus sp. T-box sequence". It matches the Rfam family "T-box leader". Rfam says of the family: Uncharged tRNA acts as the effector for transcription antitermination of genes in the T-box leader family. T-boxes are found upstream of many aminoacyl-tRNA synthetase genes and some amino acid biosynthetic genes usually in Gram-positive bacteria. Lineage: Bacteria; Bacillati; Bacillota; Bacilli; Caryophanales; Bacillaceae. The record is from RNAcentral.
UAUAGUACGGAGAUAGGGACAGUAGUUUCUUACAUGAUUACGUUUAGCGAACCGAGGAAGGUGAGAGCUCGGUCUAAUCUAAGAAACGAAUAUCACCCUGGAGUAUUGCUGCUGAAACGAAGUAAGCAGCGACGUGUUAUUCACGUUACGAAUGCUGAGAGGACAAACGGAAGUGCUGUUUGUCUACAAGGGUGGUACCGCGGGAGACCUUCUCGUCCCUUUU